CGUUCCACUGAAACCACUCUUUGAUUGGCAAUAAUGUGAAAUUAACCUUCGCCUCAAGUUUCUUCUCGGUUUUCAUACAAUUACUUCGAUAGGCUUCUCAAGGCAGGUUUUUAGAUGUUGAGACAAGCGGGUAGUUCCUUGUUCACUCUGAGCAGGUUGUACAAUGAUUCUCCUAGUGAAUUCAUCCCAUGCCGGUGACCUUGUUGUACGCAAUUUCUUCAACAAAGCAACAACAAGUGGAUGAUUUUCAUUCGCUACUUAUGCUAAUCUCUUACUUGAAGAAGGUGUUGAACUUGAAGCAAUUGUUGAAUAUUCAACACUUUGAUCUUCUUGUUCUGGUUGUUCGGAAUUUGGUUGAGUGCCUGAAGUUUCAACUCUGUU
Molecule: long non-coding RNA, 381 nt
Organism: Papaver somniferum (opium poppy)
Lineage: Eukaryota; Viridiplantae; Streptophyta; Magnoliopsida; Ranunculales; Papaveraceae
Exons: 3
Source: RefSeq, a predicted model, not a curated record